GACGUAGGGCGCGAGCGUUGUCCGGAUUUAUUGGGCGUAAAGAGCUCGUAGGCGGCUUGUCGCGUCAACUGUGAAAACCCGCGGCUUAACUGCGGGCUUGCAGUUGAUACGGGCAGGCUAGAGUUCGGUAGGGGAGACUGGAAUUCCUGGUGUAGCGGUGAAAUGCGCAGAUAUCAGGAGGAACACCGGUGGCGAAGGCGGGUCUCUGGGCCGAUACUGACGCUGAGGAGCGAAAGCGUGGGGAGCGAACAGG
RNAcentral lists this ribosomal RNA (253 nucleotides) under uncultured bacterium. RNAcentral's name for it is "partial 16S ribosomal RNA". It matches the Rfam family "Bacterial small subunit ribosomal RNA", at positions 524 to 776 of the family's 1533-position model. The record is from RNAcentral.